Molecule: ribosomal RNA, 254 nt
Filed under: uncultured bacterium
Lineage: Bacteria
Description: partial 16S ribosomal RNA
Rfam family: Bacterial small subunit ribosomal RNA
Source: RNAcentral
UACGUAGGGGGCGAGCGUUGUCCGGAUUUAUUGGGCGUAAAGAGCUCGUAGGCGGCUUGGCAAGUCGGGUGUGAAACCUCCAGGCUCAACCUGGAGACGCCACUCGAUACUGCUAUGGCUAGAGUCCGGUAGGGGACCACGGAAUUCCUGGUGUAGCGGUGAAAUGCGCAGAUAUCAGGAGGAACACCGGUGGCGAAGGCGGGUCUCUGGGCAGUAACUGACGCUGAGGAGCGAAAGCGUGGGGAGCGAACAGG